CAGUAGCCGCGGGAAUACGUAGGUGGCAAGCGUUGUCCGGAAUUAUUGGGCGUAAAGGGCUAGCAGGCGGUUUCUUAAGUCUGAUGUGAAAGCCCCCGGCUCAACCGGGGAGGGUCAUUGGAAACUGGGAAACUUGAGUGCAGAAGAGGAGAGUGGAAUUCCACGUGUAGCGGUGAAAUGCGUAGAGAUGUGGAGGAACACCAGUGGCGAAGGCGACUCUCUGGUCUGUAACUGACGCUGAGGAGCGAAAGCGUGGGGAGCGAACAGGAUUAGAUACCCGCGUAGUCCCUGUCUCUUAUAU
RNAcentral lists this ribosomal RNA (301 nucleotides) under uncultured bacterium. RNAcentral describes it as "partial 16S ribosomal RNA". It matches the Rfam family "Bacterial small subunit ribosomal RNA", at positions 509 to 809 of the family's 1533-position model. The record is from RNAcentral.